RNAcentral lists this ribosomal RNA (449 nucleotides) under uncultured bacterium. RNAcentral's name for it is "partial 16S ribosomal RNA". It matches the Rfam family "Bacterial small subunit ribosomal RNA", at positions 329 to 792 of the family's 1533-position model. The record is from RNAcentral.
AUCCAGACUCCUACGGGAGGCAGCAGUGGGGAAUAUUGCACAAUGUGCGAAAGCCUGAUGCAGCAACGCCGCGUGAAGGAAGAAGGGUUUCGGCUCGUAAACUUCUAUCAACAGGGACGAAAGAAAUGACGGUACCUGAAUAAGAAGCCCCGGCUAACUACGUGCCAGCAGCCGCGGUAAUACGUAGGGGGCAAGCGUUAUCCGGAUUUACUGGGUGUAAAGGGGGCGCAGACGGCGAUGCAAGCCAGGAGUGAAAGCCCGGGGCCCAACCCCGGGACUGCUCUUGGAACUGCGUGGCUGGAGUGCGGCGGAGGCAUGCGGAAUGCGCGGUGUAGCGGUGAAAUGCAUAGAUAUCGCGCAGAACCCCGAUUGCGAAGGCAGCGUGCCGUGCCGCCACUGACGCUGAGGCACGAAAGCGCGGGGAUCGAACAGGAUUAGAUACCCUCGUA